GACGAACGCUGGCGGCGUGCUUAACACAUGCAAGUCGAACGGAAAGGCCCUGCUUUUGUGGGGUGCUCGAGUGGCGAACGGGUGAGUAACACGUGAGUAACCUGCCCUUGACUUUGGGAUAACUUCAGGAAACUGGGGCUAAUACCGGAUAGGAGCUCCUGCUGCAUGGUGGGGGUUGGAAAGUUUCGGCGGUUGGGGAUGGACUCGCGGCUUAUCAGCUUGUUGGUGGGGUAGUGGCUUACCAAGGCUUUGACGGGUAGCCGGCCUGAGAGGGUGACCGGGCAGAUGGGGAGUGUGAGACGGAGCAGAAGGCUGCGGGAGGGAGCGGUGGGGAGUAUGGCAUAGUGGGCUGAGGGCUGUUGCAGGCUCGCCGCGUGGGGGAUGAGGGAGGGAGGGGUGUGAACAGAGUUGGACUGUGACGAAGCGUGAGGGAAGGGACGGGGGAAAGAAGCAACGGCUAACUACGUG
This 468-nucleotide ribosomal RNA is filed under the name uncultured bacterium. RNAcentral describes it as "partial 16S ribosomal RNA". It matches the Rfam family "Bacterial small subunit ribosomal RNA", at positions 28 to 507 of the family's 1533-position model. The record is from RNAcentral.